Molecule: long non-coding RNA, 1855 nt
Organism: Lolium rigidum
Lineage: Eukaryota; Viridiplantae; Streptophyta; Magnoliopsida; Poales; Poaceae
Exons: 7
Source: RefSeq, a predicted model, not a curated record
AUUGCUUCCAUGGUUCCAUUGACGGCGGCCGGCGUCGAGCGAAGCCGCAGUGGGAAUGCAUGCCUUGCUUAUGAGAACAAAUUGAGUAAAAAGAAGAUGGAUAGUUGAUGGAGGGAUUGGCCCAUUGAAGAGUCACUACGAUUAUUUGAAGACAUGCGACGUAGGUUGCUUUCUGAGGGCGCAACAACUCUCCGAAUGAAGCAGGACAUGCAGAAUAAUAACAAAAAUAUGUCUGAUUUAACUGCAUAUAGAAUAAAAUUCACUCCUCAUCCACAUGCUGGUGACAGAUGGUGUAUCUAUCCAAGCUAUAAUUAUGCCCAUUGCAUGGUGGACUCAUUUGAAACAUUACACCCUCAGCAAGUUUCCCCCCGUAGCUUUGGCUUGUUUGAAGUAUAUAAUAUGACUAAUCGAGUGGUUAAUUAUUAGUUGUGCACGCUUGAGUUUGACAUACGUCGCCCGUCAUACUACUGGCUACUUGAUCCCUUGGGCUUGUACCAGCCUCAUGUCUGGAAGUACUAAAGGCUGAGCAUAUCCAAUACAGUGAUGUCUAAGAUAAAGAGAAGUAGGUAGAUGGGUAGGAUGAUCUUCGUCUGUUGACACUGGCAGGACUUUGGCGACAGGGAGUGUAAGAAACUGCAAUUAAUAUAUUUAUCUGUGAAAUUGGAAUGACAAGAAGUCACAAUAGCUUUAUUCGUGCCGAACAUCUUGAAUAUCAUAUUAUAUCAUAGAAGAACUUGAUUAAAAAAGCUUCUUGAACCAUGGUUAUUCUGCAUCCUCUAAAGGUUGUAAUAACUAACUUGGAGGAUGGAAAAGUCACAGACCUUGAUGGAAAAAAGUAGCCUGAUGCUCCUGUUGAUGAUGCUGUAGUAUGUAGACAUUGUAAAAUAAUCCAUUUUUUAAAUCUAACCUUUCAUGUUACCUGAAGCAAGUAAAGACGCAAAUCUGAUUAUGGUCGCAUGUUGUUUGUGCCUGAACGAGAUUGACAAGAAUUAAUGGAGGUGCGAUGGUGCAAGUAUGAUUUCUCAAAUACGUUACUUUCCUUCGCAAAUUUUCGUUUGUUCUCAGUGCAUCAUCAUAUUUGCAAUUUGCAACCUGUAGACAUUCAAUUUGAUGCUUUGGCUAAUACUCACUAUAGAUUGUUUUGCAGAACACUAAUUAAACUGAGGUUUUAGUGGUACGAUAUAGACGUGGAAUUGUUUAUGAGAAAGGGAUGGUAGCCUUCUUAUGUGAGAAAAUGACCAAUUACUCCCAUGCAGCAUGAUGUGUGGAAAUAUUGGUUUUUCCCUACCUUGAUUUGUACAAGGAUAAAAGUGUUCUAAUGAGUAAUUAGCUCAUUGGCAUAAUAAAUAUGAAUAUGUUUCAUUCCUCCGCGUAUCUUUAAGCUUAUGGUCAAUAUUGUCUUUAUAUGUACGCUUUGUACUGUCAUACAUCAUUAACACCAAAAUAGUUUGCCAUUUACACAAUAUUCACAUAGAUUGUGGCCUCAAAUGAACAAGUCCAUGGUGUUAGUCUUGCUGAUUUCUAAUUCUCUUGGUUCUCCUACCUCUGCAUAGCAUAACAGUUCUCUUGAUCUAUCUUUUUUAUAGAUUGUAUAGGCUACUAUGUAUGAUGUGGAGAUGCUACACUCACUGGCCCUCAAAGACUAAAAGGUGGAAGUUCUGGAUGGUAAAGGAUUCUCGGUAAAUAUACCUUGGAGCCAUGAAAUAUCCUAAGUUCCCAUAUGUGCAGACCUUACAUACGGAGAAGAAAUGUAUUUUUCUAUAGAAAAAAUAUGCUACUGCUAGGUGUAAUAGAUUUUCCUACAUUUUAUAGGUCUACUUGUUGGCUGAUGAUCUACCAUUGAUCCUUAUGCAUA